AGAGCUAAUACAUGCAGAUCAUUGGCGUUAUUGAAAGAUAGCGUCAAAGCAUUUAUUAGACUUAACCAGCUAUCAUGUGGUAACACAUGGUAAGGCGAAUCUAGAUAACUUUGCUGAUCGUAUGGCCUCGUGCCGACGACGUUUCAAUUGAGUUUCUGCCCUAUCAAUUUGUUGGUAAGGUAUUGGCUUACCAAGGUUGCAACGGGUAACGGGGAAUCAGGGUUCGAUUCCGGAGAGGGAGCCUGAGAAACGGCUACCACAUCCAAGGAAGGCAGCAGGCGCGCAAAUUACCCAAUCUAGACAGUAGGAGGUGGUGAAGAGAAGUACUGAGUGGUGAUCAAUGAUUACCAACUUGGAAUGAACGUAAUUUAAGAAAUUUCGAUUAGAGUAACUACUGGAGGGCAAGUCCUGGUGCCAGCCAGGCCGCGGUAAUUCCAAGCUCCAGUGGCCGUGAUUUGAAAGUUGCUGCCGUUUAAAAACGCUCGUAGUUGGAUCAUGCAGUAGUAUUUUAGUAAUUCAGGUGUAGGCAUGUUGACCGAUUUUCUCUUCAAGAGGUUAUUGAAACUGCUGAAGCCUGGAUAUUCAUGCUAAAAUACUACUAUUUGCACACCAAGUGUGGUAUUUGGCCUUUAGUGAGUUGGGUAUCAUAUCUUGUGGAGUGUGCCUUGAAUAAAACAGAGUGCUUAAAGCAGGCGAACGCUUGAAUGUUAUAGCAUGGAACGAACAAACGUGUAUUUGCAUAUGUCAUGUAUUAGGAUGAAGGCAACUUUGACCUGUACUGACGUACGCAGCACCCACCAAAAUACGGGAUGUUGGUUUUCGUAUCAGGUGAUGAUUAACAGGAGCGGUUGGGGGCAUUGGUAUUUGGCCGCGAGAGGUGAAAUUCUUGGACCGGCCAAGGACUAACAGAUGCGAAGGCGUUUGUCUAGACCGUUUCCAUUAAUCAAGAACGAAAGUGGGAGGUUCGAAGACGAUCAGAUACCGUCCUAGUUCCCACCUUAAACUAUGCCGACCUGGGAUCAGCUUAGUGAUUUACAAGCACUAAGUUGGUCCCCCUGGGAAACCUUAAGUUUUUCGGUUACGGGGAGAGUAUGGUCGCAAGUCUGAAACUUAAAGGAAUUGACGGAAGGGCACCACCAGGGGUGGAGCCUGCGGCUUAAUUUGACUCAACACGGGGAAACUUACCUGGUCCGGACAUCGAAAGGAUAGACAGACUGAUAGAUCUUUCUUGAUGCGGUGAGUGGUGGUGCAUGGCCGUUCUUAGUUCGUGGAGUGAUCUGUCAGGUUGAUUCCGGUAACGAACGAGACCACCUUCUCCAUUUAAGAGGCGGUAGCAAAGCGUUGGGGCGUCGUUAUUUCGGUAAUUACGUUUCGAUUCUUGUAGGCAAGGUUGUAAAAUUUCAGAAAAUAGUGCAGGUAGGCAACUAUUUGUGCUGUUUUUUGAAAGGAUAUGAUUUUCCCUACCGUUAUGCAGUGUUGGGUAAUACCUUAAUGCUGCCUUAU
RNAcentral lists this ribosomal RNA (1503 nucleotides) under Myxobolus anatolicus. Its description in RNAcentral is "SSU rRNA". It matches the Rfam family "Eukaryotic small subunit ribosomal RNA", at positions 160 to 1412 of the family's 1831-position model. Lineage: Eukaryota; Metazoa; Cnidaria; Myxozoa; Bivalvulida; Myxobolidae. The record is from RNAcentral.